UGAGUGUAAGAUCUUACGCUAUUAGGUGGAUGACUUGGUUCUAUUAGCUGAAGAAGGGUAUGACAAGCUAUAGUAUGCUCUGGCGAGCCGCAUGUAGGCUUUGAACCAGAGAUCCCUGAAUGUGACUUCAUAGCUUCGGCUGAUCCGAAAGGAUAGGGAACACAGGAAAUUGAAACGUCUUAGUACCUGUAGGAAAAGAAACCAAUUGGGAUGCUGUGAGUAAGAGCGACUGAAAGCAGCAUAAGGCAAACUGAAUCUGUUAUGGAAACAUGAUAGAGAUGUGGUGUGGCUGCUCUUUACCGUAACUAGGGAACUCGAAGUCCUCUGGAAAGAGGCACUACAAAGUGUGAUAGUCACGUAGAGAUAACUUAGUCGGUUUUGAACAGUUCAGGAGUACUGUUUACUGGAUACUAAACAGGAAUAUAGGAGGCAUCAACUUCUAACUUUAAAUACUAAUAGAAUCCGAUAGUGCACGAGUACCGUGAGGGAAAGUUGAAAAGAACCCUUAACAGGGAGUCAAAAGAUCCUUAAACCUAAUAGUUAUAGUGGGGUAGGGCUCUUCGGAGUUCUGCCGUGCGUUUCGAAUAACGUACCAGGGAGUGUAUCUAAGUAGCGAGGAUAACUAAAAGGUAUCCAAAGGGAAACCAAUAACUCGCAGCUUGCAAGGAGUGAGGUAUGAAAGUGCCUUUAGUUACUUGGGUACGACCCGAAGCUGAGCGAUCUAACCCUGGAUAAGGUGAAGCAAGGGUAAAACCUUGUGAAGGCCUGAAGAGGUUCUACGGGCAAGUGUUCUUCUAAUCUAGGGUUAGGGGUAAAAAGCCAAUCGAGCUCAGCAAUAGCUGGUUCCUACUGAAGUUGGCCGUAGUCAAGUGUUAGGUAAGAUGACUAAAAUGGUAGAGCUACGGAUUUCGGAUUUAGGUCUCGAAAGGGAUCGGUCCUUCGUCCAACUCCAAAUGUUUUAGUAUCAAAGAUCCUAAUAAACGGGGACGCGGGGUAAGCUUGCGUUCCGAGAGGGGAACAACCCAGACUAUAGUUAAGGUCCCAAAGUGUCAGCUAAGUGUUAAAGGGUAAAGGGCAUCUAUGGCCUAAGACAGCGAGGAGGUUGGCUCAGAAGCAGCCAUCCUUUAAAAAGUGCGUAACAGCUUACUUGUCAAGGUUGUAGGUCCCUAAGAUCGACGGGGCUAAGCUGAUCACCGAUACUAUAGACUAGCCAAAAGCUAAGUGGUAAGUAGGCGUUCAAUAAGAUCAAAAGCAUUUUUGCAAGAAAAUGUGAAUCUUAUUGAAAUGAAAAUCCUGGUGGUAGUAAGAUCUUAGCAGAGUGAGAACCUCUGUCACUGUAAGGGCAAGGGCUCCUUGACAAUGUCAAUCAGUCAAGGGAAAGUUGGUCCUAACUAAGUUCAUAAGUUGAACUGUGGAAAGGGAAAAAGGUUAAUAUUCCUUUACUGCUUAAGUAUGUGUGGUGACACAAGUUUGGUUUCUGACUCUUCGGAAUAGAUUGAUAUGGAUCAUCGUCCAUAUUAACAAGGAUAAACUAGAGGAGUAUCAUAAUGAUGAGAAUCUAGUUAAACCUUGGAAUAGCAGAGUUUUGCUUUGUUCAGUUGAUUUCUGGAGAUCCUAAAAAGGAAACCAAAAAAAAUCUUAAGUAACUAUACCCAGAACCAGCACAGGUGCCCCUAGGUUAGAAGCCUAAAGUGUGAUGGAGAUAAUCUAUUUAAGGGAAUUCGGCAAAUUGGUCCCGUGCCUUCGGUAUAAGGGAUCCCUGCGUCUGUGUUUGUAUAGAUGCGGAUGCAGGGCUCAGUGACUAAGGUGGUCCGACUGUUUAACAAAAACUUAACUGACUGCAAGCCUGUAAAGGUGUGUAUAGUCGGUGACGUCUGCCCAGUGCCAGUACUUUAAACUUGGUUCCAACCGAGCUAAGAGCUGGUAAACGGCGGGGGUAACUAUAACUCUCUUAAGGUAGCGAAAUGCCUUGCCGUUUGAAUGACGGCCUGCAUGAGUGGCGUAACGAGAUCACCACUGUCCCUAGAUAGACUCCUCUGAACACUCUUUACUGGUGCAAAGGCCAGUGAUUUCCAGUGGGAAGUGAAGACCCCGUGAAACUUUACUGUAGCUUGUUACUGCGACGUGAGUUUUAUUGUACAGCGUAAGUAGGAGUUGUUAGGUUUUGGACGCAAGUUCAGAAAUAGACGACAAUGUAACACUACUCUUUAGAACUUACGUUGCUAACUUGGGAAACCAAAGACAAUAAUAGGUAGACAGUUUGGCUGGGGUGGCACCCCGCUGAAAUGGUAUCAGUGGGGCCCAACGGUUGACUCAAUCCGGUCAGAAAUCGGAUGUAGAAUGCAAGGGUAAAAGUCAGCCUGAUUGGUUUUCGAAUAAGAAGAAAAUCAAAAACGAAAGUUUGGCCUAGCGAACCUCAAUGUCCUCCUUGAUGGGGGCUUGAGAUGACCGAAAAGUUACUCCGGGGAUAACAGAGUUGUCGCGCCCGAGAGUUCGAUUUGAAUGUUGGUGCUGCGAUAAUAGCUGGGAAAAUGUUUUCAUUUCCUAAAGCUUUAGCAAUAGCUCUAACGUUCAGGAAUAGAUCGACGGCGCGGUUUGCUACAUCGAUGUCGGCUCAUCCUAUCCUGGUUGUGCAGAAUGUUUCAAAGAAUGAGAAAGACUCAGAAAUCUUCGAUUUCUGUAGGCAGCCAAGGGUGGGGGUGUUCACCCAUUAAAAGGGUUCGUGAGCUGGGUUCAGAACGCUGUGAGGCAGUUUGUUUAAUAUCUACUGGAAAUGUCUGAUGUCUGAAAGGAAGGAUCCUUUAGUACGAGAGGAACGAGGGUUCGAGGCCUCUGGUUUACCGGAUAUCUGAUAAGGUAAAACCGGGCAGCUACGCCUUAAAGGAUAAGUGCUGAAAGCAUCUAAGCACGAAACCUUUCUUGAAAAGAGACAUCUUAGAACACGAAUAGAAGAUUCGUUUGAUGGGAUCGGUGUGUAAGUAUGAAGCUUCGGCGACAUAUUCAGCAUGCGAUUUCCAACAGUUCAUACCUUACACCAA
RNAcentral lists this ribosomal RNA (3038 nucleotides) under Candidatus Woesearchaeota archaeon. RNAcentral describes it as "23S ribosomal RNA". It matches the Rfam family "Archaeal large subunit ribosomal RNA". The record is from RNAcentral. Lineage: Archaea; Nanobdellati; Candidatus Woesearchaeota.